AGAGUUUGAUCCUGGCUCAGGACGAACUCUAGCGACGUGCCUAAGAAAUGCAAGUCGAGCGAUGACGGUCUCUUCGGAGAUCUGAUUAGCGGCGAACGGUCGCGUAACACGUAAGCAAUCUGCCCUAAAGAUUGGGAUAGCCCAGGGAAACCUGGAUUAAUACCGGAUGUGAAUAAUUUAUCGCAUGUUAAAUUAUUUAAAGUAGCAAUACGCUUUAGGAUGAGCUUGCGGCCUAUCAGCUAGUUGGUAAGGUAACGGCUUACCAAGGCGACGACGGGUAGCUGGUCUGAGAGGAUGGUCAGCCGGAUUGGGACUGAGAUACGGCCCAGACUCCUACGGGGGGCAGCAAUUAGGAAUCUUGCGCAAUGGGGGGAACCCUGACGCAGCGACGUCGCGUGAAGGAAGAAUUCUUUCGGGAUGUAAACUUCUUUUAACAGGGAAGAACUCUGACUGUACCUGUUGAAUAAGCCCCGGCUAACUCCGUGCCAGCAGCCGCGGUAAUACGGAGGGGGCAAGCGUUGUCCGAAUUUACUGGGCGUAAAGCGCGCGUAGGCGGUUUAUUAAGUUGGUGGUGAAAAACCGAGGCUCAACCUCGGUCGUGCUUCCAAUACUGAUAGACUUGAGGUAUGUAUGGGGAAGUGGAAUUCCUGGUGUAGCGGUGAAAUGCGUAGAUAUCAGGAGGAACACCGGUGGCGAAGGCGGCUUCCUGGGCAUAUCCCGACGCUGAGGUGCGAAAGCUAGGGUAGCAAACGGGAUUAGAUACCCCGGUAGUCCUAGCCGUAAACGAUGGAUACUAGGUGUUAAAGGUAUCGACCCCUUUAGUGCCGAAGCAAACGCAUUAAGUAUCCCGCCUGGGGAGUACGGCCGCAAGGUUGAAACUCAAAGGAAUUGACGGGGGCCCGCACAAGCGGUGGAGCAUGUGGUUUAAUACGUCACUAACCGUAGAACCUUACCCAGGUUUGACAUCGGUAUGCCCGCUCUGCGAAAUCGGAGCCUUUCAGUUUACUGAACAUACUAGACAGGUGUUGCAUGGCUGUCGUCAGCUCGUGUCGUGAGAUGUUGGGUUAAGUCCCGCAACGAGCGCAACCCUCACUAAAUGUUGCCAGCGUAAAGUCGGGAACUCAUUUAGAACUGCCUAUGUAAGUAGGAGGAAGGUGGGGAUGACGUCAAGUCAGCAUGGCCCUUACGCCUGGGGCUACACACAUGCUACAAUGGGUGAACAAAGGGAAGCAAUACCGCGAGGUGGAGCGAAUCUCAAAAAUACACUCUCAGUUCAGAUUGCAGUCUGCAACUCGACUGCAUGAAGUUGGAAUCGCUAGUAAACGCAGGUCAGCAAAACUGCGUUGAAUACGUUCCCGGGCCUUGCACACACCGCCCGUCA
Molecule: ribosomal RNA, 1381 nt
Filed under: uncultured bacterium
Lineage: Bacteria
Description: bacterial SSU rRNA
Rfam family: Bacterial small subunit ribosomal RNA
Source: RNAcentral